Molecule: ribosomal RNA, 468 nt
Filed under: uncultured bacterium
Lineage: Bacteria
Description: bacterial SSU rRNA
Rfam family: Bacterial small subunit ribosomal RNA
Source: RNAcentral
GACCAGACUCCUACGGGAGGCAGCAGUGAGGAAUAUUGGUCAAUGGGCGGGAGCCUGAACCAGCCAAGUCGCGUGAGGGAAGACGGUCCUAUGGAUUGUAAACCUCUUUAGGCGGGGAGCAAUGCCGGGCACGCGUGCCCGGAGGGAGAGUACCCGCAGAAUAAGCAUCGGCUAACUCCGUGCCAGCAGCCGCGGUAAUACGGAGGAUGCGAGCGUUAUCCGGAUUUAUUGGGUUUAAAGGGUGCGUAGGCGGACGCUUAAGUCAGCGGUAAAAUUGCGGGGCUCAACCUCGGCGAGCCGUUGAAACUGGGUGCCUUGAGUGGGCGAGAAGUACGCGGAAUGCGUGGUGUAGCGGUGAAAUGCAUAGAUAUCACGCAGAACUCCGAUUGCGAAGGCAGCAUACCGGCGCCCAACUGACGCUGAAGCACGAAAGCGUGGGUAUCGAACAGGAUUAGAUACCCUCGUACU